GAUGAACGCUGGCGGCGUGCCUAAUACAUGCAAGUCGAGCGAACAGAUGAGGAGCUUGCUCCUCUGACGUUAGCGGCGGACGGGUGAGUAACACGUGGAUAACCUACCUAUAAGACUGGGAUAACUUCGGGAAACCGGAGCUAAUACCGGAUAAUAUAUUGAACCGCAUGGUUCAAUAGUGAAAGACGGUUUUGCUGUCACUUAUAGAUGGAUCCGCGCCGCAUUAGCUAGUUGGUAAGGUAACGGCUUACCAAGGCAACGAUGCGUAGCCGACCUGAGAGGGUGAUCGGCCACACUGGACCUGAGACACGGUCCAGACUCCUACGGGAGGCAGCAGUAGGGAAUCUUCCGCAAUGGGCGAAAGCCUGACGGAGCAACGCCGCGUGAGUGAUGAAGGUCUUCGGAUCGUAAAACUCUGUUAUUAGGGAAGAACAAAUGUGUAAGUAACUAUGCACGUCUUGACGGUACCUAAUCAGAAAGCCACGGCGAACUACGU
RNAcentral lists this ribosomal RNA (496 nucleotides) under uncultured bacterium. RNAcentral describes it as "partial 16S ribosomal RNA". It matches the Rfam family "Bacterial small subunit ribosomal RNA", at positions 28 to 506 of the family's 1533-position model. The record is from RNAcentral.